AGGCAACACACUCCAUCUGGGAUGAUUUCGUCAGAAAGUUCUGGAAAGCAAGGCAGGCGUGCAAAUAGCCAGGGGAGUGACACAAAGAAGGACAGACGAAAAACUUGUGGCACAAUGGUGAUUUUCUCAUCUAUAUCUAAAUAAUGAAGAAAAACUGAAGCAAAUUCCUCCUCAACUCUGAGUUCGGCAAGUGACGUCAAGUCAGCAUGGCUGCUCACAGCAUGAACAGUAAACACAGCAGCACUUCUUACCUUUAAAUGAUUUAUACUGGAUAUACAAGUAUUUGCUGUGGAGAAAUCAACAUACAAACAUAUUAUUUUUAUUUUAUUUUCCUAAAUUUUUAUAUUUCUAUAUUUAUGCUCAUAGUUGUUUGCCUUAUUAAUAUUCUUUUUAUUUCUUGUAUUUUUACUGUUAUACUAUGCACCAGUACACCAAGACAAAUUCCUUGUACAUGUAAACCCAGGAUACAUGGCAAUAAAAGUGAUUCUGAUUCUGA
Molecule: long non-coding RNA, 496 nt
Organism: Pangasianodon hypophthalmus (striped catfish)
Lineage: Eukaryota; Metazoa; Chordata; Actinopteri; Siluriformes; Pangasiidae
Exons: 3
Source: RefSeq, a predicted model, not a curated record